This is an RNA transcript of Daktulosphaira vitifoliae (grape phylloxera), 5031 nucleotides long. RefSeq lists it as uncharacterized. The record is from RefSeq and is a predicted model, not a curated record. Lineage: Eukaryota; Metazoa; Arthropoda; Insecta; Hemiptera; Phylloxeridae. The transcript is spliced from 27 exons.
GAUUUCCUUAGAUCAACAAAUAUUAUUUAAAGGAGCUAUACAAAUUUUUAAUGGAAUUUUGCCCUUUCGUAGGUCUAAAAAUAAAAAAAAAAAUCAAAGGAUAAUAAUGCUGGAGUCUCAUUACCAACCUAUGAAGGUUAUUGACUUUUUAUUUCCAUGACAACUCUGAGUAUAUACAUUGAAAAUAGAUAUAAUAAUACUUAUGCUUCGUGAAGAAAGCUGACCAGCAAAAUAUACUGUUCUCGCUUGGUGUAAAAAUGUUUUCUUUAUCAAUAUUAAUUAUUGUAAUGGUUAUUUUAAAAUUUUCUUGUUUAUUAUCUCAAGAUAUUUAUUUAUCUCCAUUUAUAUAUGAUGUUCGAAAUAAAGAUUACAUAAAAAUACGCAUUAAAGGAUUGAAAUCAUAUUCAGAAAUCGUCGAGAAUACAAAAUGUAAUGUAAUGGAGUUAGAAUUCCGCACUAUAAUGGAAACCAACUUGACAAUCGAAGAGAGAUCUCUAGUGGCAUAUUUCAAAACACCGCCAGCAUUAGGUGCUUUUAAUUUGCAAUGUUCAAAUCAUAAUACCCAAUUAAAUUUUGAUGGAAAUUUUUUACUUGUUAAUAGCUUAUAUUUGUUAAUUCAAAAUGUAGAACCAAGUGUUAUAACACACGGAGAAAGUGUUUCAUUUAAAUUAGAAGUUUUCAACUUGACGGAACCAGUUUCUUUGUUGUGCUACUUCUCUGAUGGCGAUGAUCAAGUGAUUUUGCCAACAAAUUCGAUCAGUGGUAAUAAACUUUCAACAUCGAUCGCAUGUCCUGUCCAUCAAUUAGCAAAAGCGACUGAGUAUCGUGUAGCAGUAGUUUAUUCAAUUGAAGCUAUUGAUUCAGUUUUAAAUUCAAAUAAUUACAAAACAAUUAAGGUUCAAGCAAAUCGUCCUAAAAUAAUGAAGUCAGGAUUUACUAAAGAUUUAAGAAUAAUUUGGUUUCAAUUCGAUCAAAAUGUAGAAGGUCCGGAAUUGUGUCAUGAUAUAUUUACACCUUACACAAUAGCUCAAAUUAGUGACGGUGCAGUUUGUUGGUUUUCAGCUGAUCAUUUAAAGGUACUUCUUGGAAAUGUAUCCAGUGUAAAAAAUAAUCAAUUCAUUUUUCAAUUUUCAUCAAAUAAUUCUAUAAGAUCUUUUAAAUCAUUGCCCAAAUAUGGCCUUACAAUGUCGUACAACGAAAUUUAUGUUCCUAUAACAAUUUCUGAGGUUACAUUACCAACCUAUUGGCUGAUUGGUCCUAGUUUUUAUUGUAUGUCAUACAAAAACUACUCUUACGAUGAUAAUGGAUUAAAUCAAAAAUAUUUUUUUAAAAGUGAUUGUUCAAAUGCUAAUAUGAUUAAUGCUCAUACAUUUGGUUCUUUAAUACUUAAUUUUGAUGUAAUUUUAAGUAUACACGAUUACAUAAAUACUGCCAUAAUUUCACCCGAAGAAGUUGCUCUUCGGAAUUCUAAUUUAAGAAAUAGUGUUUUAGAGUUAAUAGAAAAUAUCAAACAACAGAAUUUAGCAAAUGGGAUUUGCCUUGAUAGUGCAAUGAUGUUACCAAAUGUUUUAUACACAUUAGAAAUGACUGGUACCAAUAUUUUGAAUCAAAAUGGACUAAAAACACAGUUAAAAUUCAAAUUAGUUGAUUAUCAAAACAAUAACGCAAAAAUUGAUUUCAAAAUAAUAUCUCGUCCGUUAUUUCCAAUUGGUACCGAAGCAAUUUUUGAAACUGUAAUUUAUCCAGAGUGCAGUAAAUUAUAUAACAAUGAAAGCAUUCAGUAUGACUGGUACUUUAUGACUGAAGGCAUCAAACGAAAUUUCAUUGGAAUUAAUGGACCAACAUUAAUACUUGAUACAACAGAACUAAAGAAGGAUAUUAGUUAUAUUGUGUUGUGCGAAAUACGUAAUGCAAAAAAUACUAAAGAUCUUAUUUCUGUGAUAGCAACGGAUGAAGUUACUUUUAGAGUGGAUAAUUUUGAUGCUAAAACAAUUAUUGUUCCUCAGCAAAUCGUAGUUUCAUUCAGUCGACUAGUUCAUCUGAAAGUUAUGCAUCAUGAUUAUCUAUCAAAAAAAAACGUCAAAUACAAAUGGUCAUGUAAAACCAUAAAAGGUGACGAUUGUUUGGAAAUUGGAAAUUAUCCUGAAAUAAAAGAGGCUAUUGAUAAUCAACAGUCUUCAGAACUAGUAAUUCGUGAAAUUACAUUGCAACCAGGACGGUAUUAUUUUUUAGUUCAGAUAUCAUUGUCUGGAGUUCCAGUUGAUUCUGCCGUUUCGGUGUUAGUAGUAUCUUAUGAAACUGGUCCCCAUAUAUCGUAUUAUUGGCCAGAUAACGUAAAUCCAAGCGUUCCUUUUUCUGCGGGAAAAAGUUUUACUAUUGCUGCAACAAUAUCUUAUUUAACAUUCAGUUGUUUAGUUUCUUGGAGCACUUCUGCAGAUGCUGGUUAUAAUUAUUUAACACCCAAACAGUUGGGCGGAAAGGUUAAAGUUCUUGAAGAUUAUAAACCAAAUAGAAAUGAAACGUUUUCUCGUAAUGUACGAUUUACUGUGACAUUACCUAAUAAUGUUAAACACAGCGCAAAAUAUUUGUUAAAGCUAAAUGUUUAUUGUGCUUCGUUAAAAUAUCCAGUAUUUGGUAUUAUACCUUUAUCUAUCGUGGCUUCUCCAUUAGUUUCUGAAUUAAAGGUAUUCCCAUUGGAUGGCAUUGGUUUUAACACAGUAUUUAGAUUUCAAACAAACCCAGCUUACGAUACUAAAUCAAGUCAUCCUAUACAAUAUAAUUUUGGUUAUUAUAUUCGAACAUUAUCAACUAAACCCAUAUACUUCUAUUCGUCUUAUUACUGGCUAAAAACUGAUACUGUCUUACCAUCAGUCAACUCGAGUUAUACACGUAUAAAAACAAUUUUAAAAGCAUGUAAUAUCUACCAUAGUUGUAGUAUUACAGAAGGUCCAGAUGUUUUAGUUCACCAACCAACUCAACCUUCAGAAUCCGAAAUAAAAUCCUACCUUAUUAAGUAUAAAUCAUUAUUGAAAUCGCAAAUGAUAACUGAAUCGGAGGCUUUUUUAAUUUCAUUUAUUAGUACGAUGAAAACGUAUAAUAAUAGCCAAUAUCAACAAAUUGCUGGCAAAAUUAUGAACGUUAUUAACGAAUACAUUAACGAAAGUGUAAUUUUAAGUUUAUCUGAACGCAGAGAAUACUUGCCAAUAAGCUUAACAUACUUGGAAUCAUUCACUCGGAUAUUAUCUACAAUUUCAAUAUACAAUGGAAACAUUUUAAAAUGUCUUCUUUUUUUGAGAAAUCAAAUUUAUACUAUUUUAACAAUUCCAGAUAAAAUGCCUACAUCAUUAAAUGUCAUUACCAAUAUUAAAUACAUUGUACGUAGUUUAAAUGCUGUAGAUUUAGCCAUUCACUCAAAUAUACAAAUAAACAUGAAAUUAAUAAAUUUAUUUUUAAGAGUAUCAGAAAUAGUUAUACUUAAUUCCCCAAAAGACACCAUAGAAAUAGUGGAAAAGAAAAACUUAGUUGUGAAUAUAUUCAAUUAUGCCAAACAAAUCUGCAUGGUAAUGAAUGAGCGUGAAGAAAAAUAUGUUGGAUCACUAGUUGGAAGUUUUAGUGUUCAACAUGUAAAUAGUUUGAGUUUGCUUGACCAUUUGCUUGAAAUUCCUUCUUGUAGUUCAGAACUUGAUAAAAAAUGCAUUAAACAGAAAUCAAAAAUUAUUUUAGAUGAUACAUUUUUUAAAAAAGUAUCAACUAAAUUUCCAUUUUGCGUUGUAGGAAUUCAUUAUUAUGAUGACUUUUUGUCUCAUGUAGACAGUAAAAUGAACCAAAGUAAACUUAAAAGGUGUAGUAGUAUAUACGGAUAUCAUAUAUUAAAAAAUUAUAGUGCAGAACUAUUAUCAAAUGAAGAAAUCGAUGAAUUUUCCGAUUUAACGAACAUUAUUGAAAUUCCAUUAGAGACAAAUUCUGAAAUAUCUUAUGAAUGUAGAUAUUGGAAUGAUAAUCAUAUAUGGUCCAAUAAAAGUUGUACAUUUCUCGGGACUAUAACAAAAGGACAAUCAGUUUUUGGGAAAUGUGAAUGUCCUGCAUUUAAAUAUUAUGGUAUUUUUUCAGCAGUUAAUCAAGUUGCAUCAGACAGCUCUGCAUCAGAAUCUAUACAUAGCUCAGUGUUCUAUGAUAAGAAUAGAGAUGAACUUUUUAAUAAAUCAAUAAUAGCGCAAAGAUCCUCGCAUGAUUUUUAUGCCGCAUUUAGCUGACUGUUGUGCUUUCGGGCACUUUGGGCGAGGUUCUCCGACUGCUGUCCAAUAAGAUGACGAUCGUUUUGAUUCUGGAGUGAAGUGAUGGAUCCAUGUUUCAUCCAUAGUGAUAUAUUGACGCAAAAAUUCCGGUUUAUUAUGUUUGAACAUGAUCAAACACUGCUUAGAAUCAUCAACACAUUGUUGUUUUUGCUCAACAGUGAGCAAACGUGGCACCCACUUUGAACAGAGCUUUUUCAUGGACAAAAGCUCAUACAAUAUAAAGCCAACAUGUUCUUUUGAUAUCUUAAUGAUGUCAGCUAAUCUCACACAACUUCAUUUUACGAUCAUUCAAAAUAAUUUUGUGGAUUUUUUCAAUAUUUUCUGGAGUUACUGUCUCAUUUGAACGUCCACUGCGUUUUGCAUCAUCUGUGUCUCUACAACCACGUUUGAAUUAAACAUACCAACGUUAUAUUGUUGUAUCUGAUGGAGCAGAGUCCCCAUAACACUUCUCAAGCCAUUUCUUUUCUUGAACGGUAUUUUUUCCCAUCAAAAAGCAAUGUGAAAUUAACACACGAAAUUGUUUUUGAUCCAUUUUUGAAAAUUACAAAAGUAGCUUCACGCUUAGCACAAUAGAUCACAUUCUAAUGAACAGAUUGUCAUGAAAGUUUAACAGCUGUCUUUUGUAGAAUAAAUAGCAACUCAGCCGAUUUCAAUGAUCAAGAUUUAGGGACCCUAGAGAGCUCUUUAAGUCAACAACUAAAUGAAAAAUUAGAAUCGCUUUCAAAUAUUAUGAAAG